RNAcentral lists this ribosomal RNA (508 nucleotides) under uncultured bacterium. RNAcentral describes it as "partial 16S ribosomal RNA". It matches the Rfam family "Bacterial small subunit ribosomal RNA", at positions 30 to 523 of the family's 1533-position model. The record is from RNAcentral.
AUUGAACGCUGGCGGCAUGCCUUACACAUGCAAGUCGAACGGCAGCGGGGGAGAAGCUUGCUUUUCCUGCCGGCGAGUGGCGAACGGGUGAGUAAUACAUCGGAACGUGCCCUGUAGUGGGGGAUAACUAGUCGAAAGAUUAGCUAAUACCGCAUACGACCUGAGGGUGAGAGUGGGGGACCGCAAGGCCUCAUGCUAUAGGAGCGGCCGAUGUCUGAUUAGCUAGUUGGUGGGGUAAAGGCCUACCAAGGCGACGAUCAGUAGCUGGUCUGAGAGGACGAUCAGCCACACUGGGACUGAGACACGGCCCAGACUCCUACGGGAGGGAGCAGUGGGGAAUUUUGGACAAUGGGCGAAAGCCUGAUCCAGCAAUGCCGCGUGUGUGAAGAAGGCCUUCGGGUUGUAAAGCACUUUUGUCCGGAAAGAAAUGGCUCUGGUUAAUACCUGGGGUCGAUGACGGUACCGGAAGAAUAAGGACCGGCUAACUACGUGCCAGCAGCCGCGGUAA